This 484-nucleotide ribosomal RNA is filed under the name uncultured bacterium. RNAcentral's name for it is "partial 16S ribosomal RNA". It matches the Rfam family "Bacterial small subunit ribosomal RNA", at positions 30 to 507 of the family's 1533-position model. The record is from RNAcentral.
AUUGAACGCUGGCGGCAGGCCUAACACAUGCAAGUCGAGCGGAUGAAGGGAGCUUGCUCCUGGAUUCAGCUGCGGACGGGCGAGUAAUGCCUAUGAAUCUGCCUGGUAGUGUUGGAUAACGUCCCAAAACGGGCGCUAAUACCGCAUACGUCCUGAGGGAGAACGUGGGGGAUCUUCGAACCUCACGCUAUCAGAUGAGCCUAGGUCGGAUUAGCUAGUCGGUGGGGUAAAGGCCUACCAAGACGACGAUCCGUAACUGGUCUGAGAGGAUGCGCAGUCACACUGGCACUGACACACCGUCCCGACUUCUACGCGAGGCAGCAGUCGCGAAUUUUCGACAACAGGCGGAAGCCUUCUCCAGCCAUGCCGCGUGUUUCAAGAAGGUCUUCGGAGUGUAAUGUCCUUUGUCUUGGGCGGACGGCCAGUAAAUUCAUACCUUGCUGCUUUGGCGUUCCCAACAGAAUAAGCCCCGGCUACCUCCGUG